UAGUCCACGCCGUAAACGAUGGAUACUAGGUGUCCGGGAUAUUAACCUCCUGGGUACUACAGUUAACGCGUUAAGUAUCCCACCUGGGGAGUACGCUCGCAAGAGUGAAAACUUAAAGGAAUUGACGGGGGUCCGCACAAGCGGUGGAACAUGUGGUUUAAUUCGAUACUACGCGAAGAACCUUACCUAGGUUAAAUGUCUAUUGCUUACACUCAGAAAAGAGUGGUUCCGCAAGGACGAUAGACAAGGUGCUGCAUGGCUGUCGUCAGCUCGUGCCGUGAGGUGUUGGGUUAAGUCCUCUAACGAGCGCAACCCUAUGUUUAGUUGCCAGCAUGUAAUGAUGGGGACUCUAAGCAGACUGCCUGCGAAAGCAGUGAGGAAGGAGGGGCGAAGUCAAGUCAUCAUGGCUCUUACGCCUAGGGCUACACACGUGUUACAAUGGCGUGUACAGCGGGCUGCUACCUGGUAACAGGAUGCUAAUCCCUAAAAGCACGUCUCAGUUCGGAUUGAGGU
This 513-nucleotide ribosomal RNA is filed under the name uncultured bacterium. RNAcentral's name for it is "bacterial SSU rRNA". It matches the Rfam family "Bacterial small subunit ribosomal RNA", at positions 791 to 1304 of the family's 1533-position model. The record is from RNAcentral.